GUGGGACAUAUACUAAAAUUGGAAUGAUACAGAGGAGAUGAGCACAGAUGACAUGCAAAUUCUCGAAGCAUCCCGUAUUUUU
Molecule: small nuclear RNA, 82 nt
Filed under: Mustela putorius furo (domestic ferret)
Lineage: Eukaryota; Metazoa; Chordata; Mammalia; Carnivora; Mustelidae
Source: RNAcentral